CGGCUCACCGCAACGCAUCGCGAGCCCGAUCCAUGCACGCGGUCCAGGGCUCAUGAGGAGAGAGAAGAAGGUCCGAAGGGCAACCUGGUAACUUCACAUCACUCGAUGGUCCGAUCUUCUCUGAUCAAGAUCCAAUGCUCCACAUUUUUGUGCCAUCGGAUGGCCACCAUCGCUGCCAGUCAAGAUCCAACCGUAAUCAAGGCAAUUGCAAGAAUCAAUAAACACUAGGACAACACGGGAUCCUUCUGCAGCGCGAUCCAAUGGACGAAAUCUUCCAGCGCCUUGAUCGGACGGUCCGCGAUGCAUCUGACCUGAUCCCAUCUCUGCAGCACGAUCCAACGGCAGCGCUUCACCCAGAUCAUGAUCCGAC
RNAcentral lists this long non-coding RNA (370 nucleotides) under Elaeis guineensis (African oil palm). Its description in RNAcentral is "long non-coding RNA (EGUI_LNC073164)". The record is from RNAcentral. Lineage: Eukaryota; Viridiplantae; Streptophyta; Magnoliopsida; Arecales; Arecaceae.